This 498-nucleotide ribosomal RNA is filed under the name uncultured bacterium. RNAcentral describes it as "partial 16S ribosomal RNA". It matches the Rfam family "Bacterial small subunit ribosomal RNA", at positions 28 to 507 of the family's 1533-position model. The record is from RNAcentral.
GACGAACGCUGGCGGCGUGCCUAAUUCAUGCAAGUCGAACGAGAGCAACCGGUGCUUGCACUGGUCAAUCUAGUGGCGAACGGGUGAGUAACACGUGGGUAACCUGCCCAUCAGAGGGGGAUAACAUCCGGAAACGGAUGCUAACACCGCAUAGGUCUUCGAACCGCAUGGUUUGAAGAGGAAAAGAGGCGCAAGCUUCUGCUGAUGGAUGGACCCGCGGUGCAUUAGCUAGUUGGUGAGGUAACGGCUCACCAAGGCCGUGAUGCAUAGCCGACCUGAGAGGGUGAUCGGCCACAUUGGGACUGAGACACGGCCCAAACUCCUACGGGAGGCAGCAGUAGGGAAUCUUCCGCAAUGGACGCAAGUCUGACGGAGCAACGCCGCGUGAGUGAAGAAGGUUUUCGGAUCGUAAAACUCUGUUGUUAGAGAAGAACAAGUGCUAGAGUAACUGUUAGCGCCUUGACGGUAUCUAACCAGAAAGCCACGGCUAACUACGUG